UUGAACGCUGGCGGCAGGCCUAACACAUGCAAGUCGAACGGUAACAGGAAGAAGCUUGCUUCUUUGCUGACGAGUGGCGGACGGGUGAGUAAUGUCUGGGAAACUGCCUGAUGGAGGGGGAUAACUACUGGAAACGGUAGCUAAUACCGCAUAACGUCGCAAGACCAAAGAGGGGGACCUUCGGGCCUCUUGCCAUCGGAUGUGCCCAGAUGGGAUUAGCUAGUAGGUGGGGUAACGGCUCACCUAGGCGACGAUCCCUAGCUGGUCUGAGAGGAUGACCAGCCACACUGGAACUGAGACACGGUCCAGACUCCUACGGGAGGCAGCAGUGGGGAAUAUUGCACAAUGGGCGCAAGCCUGAUGCAGCCAUGCCGCGUGUAUGAAGAAGGCCUUCGGGUUGUAAAGUACCUUCAGCGGGGAGGAAGGGAGUAAAGUUAAUACCUUUGCUCAUUGACGUUACCCGCAGAAGAAGCACCGGCUAACUCCGUG
Molecule: ribosomal RNA, 489 nt
Filed under: uncultured bacterium
Lineage: Bacteria
Description: partial 16S ribosomal RNA
Rfam family: Bacterial small subunit ribosomal RNA
Source: RNAcentral